Molecule: long non-coding RNA, 4199 nt
Organism: Puntigrus tetrazona (Sumatra barb)
Lineage: Eukaryota; Metazoa; Chordata; Actinopteri; Cypriniformes; Cyprinidae
Exons: 2
Source: RefSeq, a predicted model, not a curated record
ACCUGGGAAGAAAACACAACAGUUCGCGUCAAUGUAGGUGGCAGGUUAGCAGUUCAGGUGACCUACCUUUCUUUGUAAGUGGGAGGAGCCUGUGAAUCUCCAGCUGUGACAGGUAAGAAAUUUUCCCAGGAUUGAGUAGCAUUUUAUAACGUGAAACUCAAAAUUGCUGCCAAUUAUAAAACUAGUAUCCACACUUUUAAUUAUUUUCCCAUCCUAAUGUGUACCACAAAUUAUUCAACAUAUACAACAAAGAUGUGCUUCUCUGGGUUACAAAAUGCAGUUUGUUUCUAGAAAAUGUCAAGAUCAAUGCCAAUAUCUGGUGAGUACGGCAUAGCCGAGACUGUAGAAACACUUUCUAGUGCGCUGGAAUGUGUGCUGCACUAAAAGUGUAAGAAAAGCUUUCAGCUGGAACAAUGCACGCCUUCAAGGGUUAUAAAAUCACCCUCUGGAAAAGUUCCCUCAGUCUUUUUGUUUUUGUAAACCAUUUUACGAUCCUGCUGUAAAGUUACUGCCCCUUAAAAAGCAUCACACGGCAGUAACUUUACAGCAGAAUUUAAACAAGUUAGAUGACCUCAGAUCCACCUCUGACCUGAUUACAUACAGUUUUUCAUGCAAUGCUAAAAUAUAUGUUCUACAUAAAUGGCAGAUAUCUGAGAGAGUUGUCUGAUAAAGAGAGAUUACGUUUCUGUACAAAUCUGGGCAUAUAAUACAUUUCCGCAGACUGGAAGGAGGUCAAGGGGCAGGUGUACAUGGUCCACAGGCUGGGUGUAAAGCGACGGGUCAGUGUGUCGGUCAGUCUUAAGCGCAGGUUGCAGCUCGAGCACACAAUGUGGUUUGGACAGCAGGACUGCAAAGGAGUGUGCUUGGGGUUAUUUGGGGAGGAAUGAUUUUUGGAGGUUGACGGCAGGGCCAAAGCAGAUCUUUUGGUGGCACUUCGCUCUCCUAGGCGGUCCAGGGAUCUUCUCAACUCUUGCUGUGCACCUUGUACCCCAGCUAGCUCCCGCUGAUACUGAACAUCCAGCGCAUGUAGGGUCCGCUCAAGCUGCAGGCUCUGACGCCUCUGAGCAUUAGCCAGCGAACGCUCUAAGAAUUACAUAAAAUAUCAACCAAAAGAUCUGAAUAAACUAGCCCUUAUUGGAAAUUGAAAAGAAUACAGUAAGUUAGUGUACACAUUUUUUUACAGAUACCCCGUUCAUUAUGUCUUUUCCUUCUUGACAGAGAGAUGAAAUUAGACAUGCCACACUCAUCUGGAAGACAUGAAGAUAUGCAGGAUGCAGUGACAAAUGCUGAACAGUUGAGAGAUCAUAUGUUUUUACCUUUUAUAUAAAGUGAAUAUUGUAACAUUAAAUUCACAUCUUUCAGCAGGGGUGGUAUAUAGACAAUACCACAUUUAAUUAUUUAAAAUUGUACAUAUGCAAAUCACAUACAUCAGACACUAAUUCUGGAAAUUUUGUAAAGUUGUUAAGAAAAUAAUACAUUAAUGCAUUUACUCACCCAUGGAUGGACAAGCAUUUACUGUCUAGAAGCAUCUUAAUGUAAAAACCCACCAAGCUCAUUUCUGUGAAUACACAAACUUUUCCUCUCCUCUUCAGCCUAAAGAUAGGGGGAAAAUGCUUCUGAAAGUGAGAGUCUGUUAGGUAACCUAACUUUUAUAAAGCGACACAGUCUCUUAAAACAAUAGAUUUGAAGGGGCCAAGUAAGAAAAGAGUGGGCAGAGCUAGUGAGAGAAAGGCAACUCCUCUUCAGCUUUACAAAAGAAUGCAGAAUAUAAAUCGGAAAAUCUAUAUUGCAAAAAAAUAAAAUAAUAAUAAUAAUAAAUAUAUAUAUAUAAUAUAAAAUCAUAAAUAUAGCAUCAAAAUCAGUGGUAAAUGUGACAGCCUUUAAAAUCAAACACACUGAAUAAAACAAAAAAAAAAAAAACAUUAGCCAGUUUUCAUGCACUUCUUUAAUAUAUCAGUUUUUCAUAUUCACAACAAAUACAUUAAGCUCUUUUCCUUUUAUAUAAUACAGUCUUAAAUAUUUUUACACAGAAAUAUUUUCUCAGAAUUUCAUCUAUCAAAAUGUCUUUUCUUAACCUUUAAGUUGAAACAUUUGAAGUCAUUUCAUUGUUUUUAUCUCCAUGCCUCCUAGCAAACGGACAGUACUUCCUUUGUACAGCUAUUUACAGAUGAAAAGAGUCUCCCAAACAUUUGUAUGAUAGUUCUCACUUGAAUUAACUUGCACUGGGGGGGGAGGGUUAAAGUGCAGGCAAGGCAACAGAAAGGAAUGUGAUACGGACGUUUUUGUUGAAGGCUUUAAAGCAAAUAAAAUGGGGGAUUUGGGGAGUGAAAGAAAAAAGGCUAUAGAGAAUCUAUAUAUAUGUGUGUUUAUCUCCGAGUUGUAAUUAAGCAGGUCACCAAGUAUUCCAGUCAAGAAGGAUCAAUCCUUCACAAGUCAGACCUCUUCAGUAACAUUCCCAUAGAAAAUAAAUACAGCAUUCUUAAAAUACACCUCUACACCGUCUCCAGACGCAACCCACGUUAGGUUUGCCAGCUUAAUCUGGUAACAAGUUCAUUCAGACGUCUCGUCAAAAACUAUACAUGUGAAAACAGUGACCACCGUCACGAGCCCAAAGGAUCCGUGGAGCUCCUCUCUCCUUAAUGGCAAGUUUAAGUGGCGGAACCAAUUCACAGAGCAUCGUCCUUAUAAAAAUAAUCGAAAAAGAGAACCAAAAUAAAUAAUUCAAUCCAUCUCAACAGAAGCAAGAAGAUGGGGCACGUGUCCUCACUUUUGUAACAGAGCACGAGUGGCGAACCAAGCGGAGAGCCUCGGUUAUCUGUGCAACAUCAAGCAUUUUGUGGAGCCGAAAGCAAAAAUGCGUCAUUUCCUACGAGAACAAAAAAAAGGAGCCGGAGCCACUUAUUUCACUACGAAGAGGCCGAAAUAACAAAAAGCAUCCCUACGAGGGCACUUCCACUGUCCACAGUGUCUAGGUGAACUUCAGGGCUACACAGUGCUAGUGUCACUACAGCCCAAAGCUAUGCUAGAGGGUUGACGCAGAAGUCUUUGGACCAACUUGAAACGAAGAGUCGCCGCUUUAUCACCUGUUCGAGUCACAGGGCGAAUCGAUUUGGUCGAAGAUCCAGAUAACCGUUCUCCGGCAAAUGGCGAAGGUGGACACAGAUGGCGUUAGGAGGUUGAAUUAAGCUUUGGUUUUUAGUGUCCCAUGGCCCUGCCUGCUUUUGAAAUCGAUUUUCAUUCAUUUUGCAAUCCGGUAACCAUGCUUUAACCUCUUCAUAUGACAAAAUAUAUUAAGUCUUUAAAAAGGCAAAAUUGCUUAUCUGCAUCAGUCAUUUAUACAAAGUGCACAGACACACUGCGUAAUGUCCAUUUCAGCAAAUCACAGAAUGAGUGAGAGAAAAUAUAUAUGUAUAUAUACACACACACACACAUACACACACACCUCUCUGAGAGUUCGAAACACUGAACAAAAAGUAAAACAAUUAAAGCAAUAUAAAUUAAUGUAACUUUGCAGGCCUGCCUGUCUAUAACACAAGAAAAACUAUAUGAAACUUAAAAAAAAAAAAAAAAAUGCUAUGACCCGUGAACAAACAUAUCGGAAUGAAUCCAGCGGUGCAAGGUCCAAAGAGUUUUCACAUGACUCGGAUGGAUCGAAUCUCAAAAAACAAAAAAACAAAACAUAAAAAUAAAAAUCUGUUAACCGUUAUGGCCUAAAAGGAAUGGCUUCUAAUAACAACAGUUAAGCUUAAAGUUGUAGUGAAAAGUACAGAAAUACAUCUGAAAUACGCCCACAUUGUUACUCCAUAGCAAGGCUUCGUGUUUGCUUUAUACAGUGGGUUUUUCUACAAGAAACUUUAAAUAAUAUAGCCUUUGACUUAUUCAGAAACAUAAUGCCAGCUACUAUAAGGAGGUGAAACUAAACAAAACUAAAUCACAUUCUCUAGAAGCGCGGAAACCGCUUUGAUUGUGCCGAUCCAAGAGAGGCUAAAAACAUUUCACCAGGCUUCUUUGCGUGGGACACGUGAAAUGCAAAAUAAAUAAAAAUACUAGAGUUUGCUUUGACAAAUAACUAAAAGCAAAAGAACCUACAGAAUAUUCUAGAAUAUAUAUGUAUAUAUAAAAAAAGAGGUCUUUUGAUGGUUGCUUCAUUUACCACUUUUCACAAACUAUAUCUGUAACUGAAAAAAGGGUCUGUUUAU